Heterocephalus glaber (naked mole-rat) is the source of this 2377-nucleotide non-coding RNA. NCBI's taxonomy places the organism in Eukaryota, Metazoa, Chordata, Mammalia, Rodentia, Bathyergidae. The record is from RefSeq and is a predicted model, not a curated record.
CCGAGGAGAGCGACGGGGGCUCUCGGGAGCUGCACCGGCCCCACAGCGGCACGGGCUGAGGCCCGACGCUGCCCCCGAGUGAAGGAGGGGCUCCUGCACCCCAGACUCUCCGUGUGCCUGCAGGACAGUCCCCCCAUCUCUCGCUCGGGGCCUUGGCCUCCCCGGGACACCUAGCAGCUUAGCACUGGGCAGAGGACUCAGGCACCCCCAGAAACCAGUCAGAAACCAUCUGAGCGGGAGCCUCGGGCAAGCCUGCUAUUUUAAGCUUCCAAAGAACAACAAGAAUUUGUCACCGAGCCAGCCAACUAUGGACUGAAACCUCUACAAAUUGUAAGCUAAAUAAACCCUUUGUCCUCUUAAAAAAGACCCUACUUUUGGCUGAAGCCUGGGGCUGUCACCGGGGACACAGCCUCUGCCCUUCUUACCCAGUCCUUUCCCUAAAACCAAGUUGCUGUACAUUUGUUAGGUAAUUUUUUUUUUUCCGGUAUCAGGGACAGAACUCAGGACCUUGUACUUUCGAGGCAGGUGUGGCGCCACUAAGCUAAAUCCUUGGCCCUGAUGCUGUACAUUUAUUUAAGGGAGUUAAGAUAAUGAAUGAGACCUACACCAGUCCAUGUUACAUACAUUAAAUGCAUGGAUAUAUUAUAUAUACAUUUAUUGUCACAAAAAUCAUGUUCUGCCAGGUGUGGUGGCACAUGCCUGUGAUCCCAGGACUCGGGAUGCUGAGGCAGGAGGAUUGCCACGAGUUUUAGGACAGCCUGGGCUACAUAGUGAGUUCAAGGGCAGCCUGGACUACAUAGCAAGAGCCUGUCUCAAAAAUCAAAACCAAACAAACAAAAAGAAUCAUGUUGCCCAAUUGUAUUUUUCUGUAAAAUAAAUUGUCUGUUUUUAAUAACAAAUCAUUCAAAAUCACUAACACUAGCUAGCUCUGGGUUGAGAGCUUUCACUUUUAACUUUAUACAUUUCUCUACAAAAUUGAGUGAAUUGUCCAAAAUCAGAAUAUAUUACUUUUAUAAUUUUAAAAAGACAGUAAUAAAAAAGCAUCUCUAGAAAGGAAUAAUUCAUUCUCCUCUUCAGCUCUCUAUUUCCCCAAAUCCUGAUUAACCCUAAUUAAUCUCUAUCUUCUUACUAGCUCAAUUUAAUGUUCCAAUUGGAUUAGCGCUCUGGAAAAGAGAGAACAUCUUUCUCCAAUUGGCAUUAUGCCCAGCUGUCCCCAAGGUGGCCUUGAGGGCUUGGGGACAGAGAAGGUCAGAAUUGGGGUCAUCGAGAGGGUUCCAGCUUCGAGCACAGUGAGCCCUUGCAGUGGGUGGCAGGGGUCUCAGAAGGAGGGGCAGUGUAGGAAGUAGCCCCAGGAAGGAUGGCGAGCCCUGUGGCCCUGUGGGGAACCACGGCUGGGCUGGUGGUCCCAGGGUUGCUAGGCAACUGAAAGGUCAGUGGCUGCCAGGCUGAAUUAGGCAGCUAGCACAUGAGGCUCCCUGCAAGCUGGGUGCUGCUAAGAGCAAGCGUUUUUCUCACCUUUUUUCUAUCUUUACAACAACUCUAUAUAGUACAGGCAUUGUUCCACUUUACAGAGGAGAAACUGAGGCCUGGGUCAUUAUGUAAAUUGCCUCAAGUUACCCUGCUACUUAGCAGCAGGCUGGACUUUGCCACCAGGCAGCUCUGGCUCUCUCAGGCCCUGCAUUUCACCACUACUACAUAGCUCCUCCAUCCUCCAGAGGCUGAGCUUGACCUGAAUUCUAGGAUUCCAUGAUUCCGAUUUGAGAGCCCUUGCAGUGCUCCGGAGCACCCACUCGAACAAGCCUUGUGGGGGAUGGAGGGUGGGCACCCCCGUCAUGAGGCCUGGGAUCCCAGAGCUGGAGACUCUGGGAAACAGGCAGCAGUUGAACCUGCUCCCCCAGCUCUGAGCCCAGGCACGGGGGAUGGGCAAGGUGCCCAAGAAGGGCAGACAGUGCCCAGUGCUGGACAAUCCAACCUCUCCGGAGGAGGCAGGAAGGCCCCACCCCUGGGCAAAAGGUUUCAGGUACAGGGGCCCUGAGUGUGUCUUGCCUGGCACUGAGCAGGCCUCCCCAUGGAGGCCCAGUCCCUGCCUCAGCUGGAGGAAUGUCAGGCUCCAAAAUACCCCUUGCUCCAAAAUACCCCUGGGGGCUGCAGAAACUUGGGGACAGAGGGUCAGGAUCUCCAGCAGGGGUCGCCCGAACUCCCCCUCUGGGUCCCAAGCCCCCGGCAGGUGAGCCCAGAUUUGAGACGCAGCAGCCACGGCCUGUAGCCCACCACCCGUACCAGAGGGGGUCCGUGCAGAUGUACACCCGGUGCCAAGCAUGUGCAAGGGAGGUGGGCAGGGGACACAUGCAGUUGUCAUGGCAGCAGAAGCAUCGCA